UUUGUGCGGCGACACAGCCACCUUUUCCCCAUGUUGCUCGCGACUGCGACACUCUACGCAGAUGUUUGAGCGUCAGGCUGUGUCAAGAGCAAGAGGACGUCUUAGUACCUUUCGCCUUCUGAGCUGGAUGCCGAUUUCUUCACGGGAGUUGGGAACAGUUCAAGGAUGGGUCGGUGGUUCAUACAUCC
This 188-nucleotide small nucleolar RNA is filed under the name Daedalea quercina L-15889. Its description in RNAcentral is "small nucleolar RNA snR35". It matches the Rfam family "small nucleolar RNA snR35". Lineage: Eukaryota; Fungi; Basidiomycota; Agaricomycetes; Polyporales; Fomitopsidaceae. The record is from Rfam by way of RNAcentral.